RNAcentral lists this ribosomal RNA (344 nucleotides) under uncultured eukaryote. Its description in RNAcentral is "partial 18S ribosomal RNA". It matches the Rfam family "Eukaryotic small subunit ribosomal RNA", at positions 1470 to 1796 of the family's 1831-position model. The record is from RNAcentral.
CCCUUAGAUGUUCUGGGCCGCACGCGCGCUACACUGAUGACUUCAACGAGUUUUUGUUAUUUUUAGCAAUGUCCUUGGCAGGAAUGCCUGGGUAAUCUUUUAAAUGGUCAUCGUGAUGGGGCUAGAUUCUUGCAAUUAUUAAUCUCCAACGAGGAAUUCCUAGUAAACGCAAGUCAUCAACUUGCAUUGAUUACGUCCCUGCCCUUUGUACACACCGCCCGUCGCUACUACCGAUUGAAUGGCUUAGUGAGGCCUCCGGAUUGGCUUUGGGGAGCCGGCAACGGCACCUCAUGGCUGAGAAGUUGGUCAAACUUGGUCAUUUAGAGGAAGUAAAAGUCGUAACA